Molecule: microRNA precursor, 89 nt
Filed under: Cajanus cajan (pigeon pea)
Lineage: Eukaryota; Viridiplantae; Streptophyta; Magnoliopsida; Fabales; Fabaceae
Description: miRNA gene-KK1_050597
Source: RNAcentral
GCAUUUAAUCACAAAUUGAUAUAUAUAAUAAUUAUGUAGACUUUUACUAUAACUACUUAAAUAUUAUAUCUAUGCUUUAUGAUUUUUUA